CCUUCUCCUUAGUUUCCACACAGGGCCAGCCUACGUGUUUUCCUCAUGAGGUAAAGUGCACUGUGCGCUUCCUCGCACGUCUGGCAAUGGAUCUAAAGCUUCGCAAGUUCGUCCCUUGUGUUUGAGCAAUUUUAAAAUCCAGUCGCUUCAUUGUUAUCCACAUCCUCCUCCUCCUCCUCAUCAUCAUCGGACCCAGCGGGAGCAGAGAGGAAGAAGAUGGGGUGCUGCUCGGCGCGAUGCAUGCUGAUCCUCCUGUGUUGUUUGCAGUUGAUAACUGCGCUGGAGAGGCAGGUGUUUGACUUCCUUGGCUACCAGUGGGCUCCCAUCAUGAUCAACUUCUUUCACAUCAUUGUGGUCAUCCUGGGCCUGUUUGGUGUCAUCCAGUACAGAUCACGCUAUGUUAUUAUGUACCUGCUGUGGACCUUGUUGUGGGUUGGCUGGAAUGUCUUUGUUAGCUGUCAUUACUUGGAUCUGGGAGGGCUUUCAAAGGACAGCGAUACACUCUCCCUGGGAGUGUCGUCGCAUCGCUCAUGGUGGAAGGACAACGGGCCGGGGUGUGAGAGCAAGGGCCUUCCCUCCUCUGGGUGGCAGAACCAGCAGAACCCGGAGCUGACCACAGUGCUGAGCUGCUGGCUAGAAUACCAGUACAUAGAAAUCUUGCACUGCAUCGUCCAGCUCCUCCUAUCACUCCUGGGAUUUGUUUAUGCCUGCUACAUCGUCAGCAAUUUGUCAGAUGAGGAAGACAGCUGUAAUUAAUUUCAUUGGUGAAUUUCAUCAUCCAUUGAAACCCUCUCAGUUGAUCUAGUGUAAAGACCUGCAGAUUAUAAAUAACCACAAAAAAACAGUGGAGAAAAGGCUGGGAAGGAGACGCGCAGACAAGGAGACAACUGUAAAGACCGUCAUUGUCUAAUUUUUUUGCCUGAUUAUCAAUUAAAACAUCGGUCACAGAUGUUGACCCUCACUAUGCACAAACUGCACACACUUUCCUGAGUCAAGAGGGGAAUUUCCACAAUACAUUACUGUAUAAAAAGUGUAGACCUACUCAUGUUUGUCUUCAGGCAUCAAAUUCAGUAAAUGUCCAUGUAAAUCUACCUCUGUAUGUGUGUGCGUGUGUGUGCCAAAGAGAUAGAAAUCCCUACAUAUUAAGCUCUCUAAUACAAAAGAAAAGUGAUUUGAAAGAUGUAAAUAAGUAGCAGAUUCUUUCUGAUGUUUUGUAAAAUAAAUUAUUAAUGUGUGUCACUCAUUGCAGUUAGAAAACGUGUAUAGUGUAUGAUAUUAUUCAGUGAAAUAAACCACGUCUACACAAUAUAGCUUGUAAUAGGGUGUUGCACACAUUUCUUUAUUAUUAAAAAUGUACAAGACCAGGUAACGUUAUCUGCCUUCUAUCAGCUCUGGAUGGCUCCUUAACAUUACUAAUGAUAAGUUGCCGUU
Micropterus dolomieu (smallmouth bass) is the source of this 1431-nucleotide RNA transcript. It is a transcript of the gene named sodium/potassium transporting ATPase interacting 5, with no coding region annotated. NCBI's taxonomy places the organism in Eukaryota, Metazoa, Chordata, Actinopteri, Centrarchiformes, Centrarchidae. The transcript has 7 exons. The record is from RefSeq and is a predicted model, not a curated record.